GCAUCCUGUAAUAGACUGAUGGGUGAUGAUGGACCGUGUGAAAUUGGUUCCGACUUUCUCCCGUCGAGCUCAUAAAGUUUUCCAUCCACACAUGUGAAGCAGAUAAAGUGAGUAUCGACGUUUUCUGAAGCUGCCGUAUCGCCAGCAGUUGCUGCUACUGAAUGCGCAACUUCCAUUUCUCCAUCUUUCUCAAGAAAUGCAGCACGCUCCAUCGGAUCCAUG
Molecule: unclassified non-coding RNA, 222 nt
Filed under: Hevea brasiliensis (rubber tree)
Lineage: Eukaryota; Viridiplantae; Streptophyta; Magnoliopsida; Malpighiales; Euphorbiaceae
Source: RNAcentral